This 88-nucleotide non-coding RNA is filed under the name Paenibacillus mucilaginosus. Its description in RNAcentral is "c-di-GMP sequence". It matches the Rfam family "c-di-GMP-I-GGC riboswitch aptamer". RNAcentral also lists the same sequence under 1 other name. The record is from RNAcentral. Lineage: Bacteria; Bacillati; Bacillota; Bacilli; Caryophanales; Paenibacillaceae.
UCCGACAAAGGCAAACUCCUCUAAAGGGGAGGACGCAAAGCCACGGGCCUACCGAACAUCCUGUUCCACGGCUGCCGGGCUGCCGUUA